UUAGCAUGAAAGCUGAAAAGGGAAGUUGGUGAAAUUCCAACGCGGUCCCGCCACUGUAAAUGGGAGUCUUCUACUUAAACCACUGUGUUUUUGAUGCAUGGGAAGGAGUAGGAUACGAUGAACAUGAGCCAGGAGACCUGCCGAGUCC
This 148-nucleotide non-coding RNA is filed under the name uncultured Siminovitchia sp. The record is from RNAcentral. Lineage: Bacteria; Bacillati; Bacillota; Bacilli; Caryophanales; Bacillaceae.